This 253-nucleotide ribosomal RNA is filed under the name uncultured bacterium. Its description in RNAcentral is "partial 16S ribosomal RNA". It matches the Rfam family "Bacterial small subunit ribosomal RNA", at positions 524 to 776 of the family's 1533-position model. The record is from RNAcentral.
UACGUAGGGUGCAAGCGUUGUCCGGAAUUAUUGGGCGUAAAGGGCUCGUAGGCGGUCCAUCGCGUCGGGAGUGAAAAGCUGGGGCUUAACCCCAGUCCUGCUUCCGAUACGGGUGGACUAGAGGUAGGUAGGGGAGAUCGGAAUUCCUGGUGUAGCGGUGAAAUGCGCAGAUAUCAGGAGGAACACCGGUGGCGAAGGCGGAUCUCUGGGACGGUACUGACGCUGAGACGCGAAAGCGUGGGGAGCGAACAGG